CACGUAGGCACCAAGCGUUGUCCGGAUUUAUUGGGCGUAAAGAGCUCGUAGGCGGCUCAGUAAGUCAGAUGUGAAAACUCAGGGCUCAACCCGGAGACGCCAUCUGAUACUGCUGUGGCUUGAGUCUGGUAGGGGAUCACGGAAUUCCUGGUGUAGCGGUGAAAUGCGCAGAUAUCAGGAGGAACACCGAUGGCGAAGGCAGUGAUCUGGGCCAGUACUGACGCUGAGGAGCGAAAGCGUGGGUAGCAAACAGG
RNAcentral lists this ribosomal RNA (254 nucleotides) under uncultured bacterium. Its description in RNAcentral is "partial 16S ribosomal RNA". It matches the Rfam family "Bacterial small subunit ribosomal RNA", at positions 524 to 776 of the family's 1533-position model. The record is from RNAcentral.